GCUGGUGUCAUCAGCAGUGGGGCUACACCUGUUCCCAUUCCGAACACAGAAGUUAAGUCCGCUUGCGGCGAUGGUAUUGCAGGGUUAACCCUGUGAGAGAGUAGCACGAUGCCAGCG
RNAcentral lists this ribosomal RNA (117 nucleotides) under Pseudoalteromonas shioyasakiensis. RNAcentral also lists the same sequence under 1 other name. Lineage: Bacteria; Pseudomonadati; Pseudomonadota; Gammaproteobacteria; Alteromonadales; Pseudoalteromonadaceae. The record is from RNAcentral.